GAUGAACGCUGGCGGCGUGCCUAAUACAUGCAAGUCGAGCGAACGGACGAGAAGCUUGCUUCUCUGAUGUUAGCGGCGGACGGGUGAGUAACACGUGGAUAACCUACCUAUAAGACUGGGAUAACUUCGGGAAACCGGAGCUAAAACCGGAUAAUAUUUUGAACCGCAUGGUUCAAAAGUGAAAGACGGUCUUGCUGUCACUUAUAGAUGGAUCCGCGCUGCAUUAGCUAGUUGGUAAGGUAACGGCUUACCAAGGCAACGAUGCAUAGCUGACCUGAGAGGGUGAUCGGCCACACUGGAACUGAGACACGGUCCAGACUCCUACGGGAGGCAGCAGUAGGGAAUCUUCCGCAAUGGGCGAAAGCCUGACGGAGCAACGCCGCGUGAGUGAUGAAGGUCUUCGGAUCGUAAAACUCUGUUAUUAGGGAAGAACAUAUGUGUAAGUAACUGUGCACAUCUUGACGGUACCUAAUCAGAAAGCCACGGCUAACUACGUG
Molecule: ribosomal RNA, 497 nt
Filed under: uncultured bacterium
Lineage: Bacteria
Description: partial 16S ribosomal RNA
Rfam family: Bacterial small subunit ribosomal RNA
Source: RNAcentral